Molecule: long non-coding RNA, 1612 nt
Filed under: Mytilus galloprovincialis (Mediterranean mussel)
Lineage: Eukaryota; Metazoa; Mollusca; Bivalvia; Mytilida; Mytilidae
Source: RNAcentral
AAAUAAUAACGCCAAAUGUGUGUAUCCUAAUUCAGUAUUUGUCAGCAGCUGUCUUUAUUUAUAUCUUAGAGUUUCAUUUGUGCUUAAAGAAAUUUAUUGUGAUGGCCGAUCUUUUAUACAUACUUCACAAUUUAUUCCAUAGUAUAAUUUUUAAUUUUGGGCGCAACUUAGAACCAUAUAUAAUAAUAUAUAACUUAUUUAAAGUAAAGACCGCAUACUAUCCUUUCAGUCACUUUUUUUUCUUUGAAUUACUGUUUCAUUUGCGCAUGCCAACAUCUCACUGUAUAUUUUUUAAAGACCUUAGAUGGAUUCCAAAUAAACAAACAAUUUAGGUACAAGGACAUAGUAGAUCAACAACCUUUAUUUGCGUUAUGAACGUGAAAACCUUCUUUUUUUUUUAUAUUGUGAUUUUUAAUCAAGAAAUGACUUUUUAAUGUCGUGCUACAUUAUAUAUUUAUUAUGAUUCAAUCAAUGGAUAUAUUGAAUAUUUUUACACUAUAAAACUACAACACGUAAGAAUGUAGACCUUGAUAUUUUUUAAUGUGUCUAAAAACAAGCAAUUUUAAAAACAUAAUGCAUGAAAAUAAUGUAUUUAAACCGAAAGAGCAUAGAUUUUAUGAAACCUUAGAAACAUAUGGCAUUGUAAGUUGCAAACGUGGUGAAAUUGCAUCUUACAUAUACUAAUGCACCGUAUAAACUGGUACAUGUAUAAUGUUUAACUUUAAUUCGUGUUCAUGGGGUAAAAAUUUCUUUUGAUUUUGAUUUAAAUGGUACGCAUGGUGUUGGGUCUCAUUUGGUUAUUUCACAAUCGGGAGUUACAUGUAUAUAAUACAUUUGUAGGCUCUGCUGAAAUGUAGCUACAUAGAAAUGGAAAGUUAACGUUAAAGAAAUAACAAAAGCACUGGCCCCAUGGUACUCCUUAGGUGGGGGGGGGGGGUCUCAAUCUGGCGAUAAUAUUUUUGGUCCCUUAUUCUCAGGUUUUUAUUGUGCAUUUUUUUUUUUACUGUAUAAACCCUAUCCCAUAGAACUUGGUGCAUUGAUGACAUUUGCUUUAGUUAAAACAAUGUUAUUUAUUCAAUCACAAAAAAAGAAUGGAAACAUUUUGUGAUUUUUAUUAUUAAACAAUGAUAAUAUCUGAUGAGCUCACGAAAGUUAUAGGUGCAUGUUUGUUUUGUUUUUUUUGACAUCCUACAAAUUGGCGGUAAGUCUAUAUGUAUUGCUUUAUAGUGCUAAAAAAAUCACGAAAUGAACAAACCCUUUCACACAUUUUUAUAGCCGCCAUGUGGUUGAAAGAUUUUGUUUAGAUAAUUGAGUAUGGGCCUAGAUGAACGCUUCUACCAUGUACGCUCCCUCCGAGUGCAUAUGAGACAGGGGCUACUUACAUAACUUUCUAAGGUUAUAUGAUGUGUUUGUGUUUUAUUUCAUUCCGAUUUAUUAUAGUUGGGACAUUUUAUUGUGCAAGUUCACUUGACUUUUCAGCCCCAAUGUCAUGUGACUUGUUAUGCGCUCAUCUCUCGCUUCGAUCAAACUUUUAGCAUCACCCAAGUGCAUCAAGUGUGGUAAAUUUGGCAUUUAACGUUAACUAUUACGUAUAACUGGUAAAUGAUUUUGG